RNAcentral lists this long non-coding RNA (304 nucleotides) under Gallus gallus (chicken). Its description in RNAcentral is "long non-coding RNA NONGGAT012531". Lineage: Eukaryota; Metazoa; Chordata; Aves; Galliformes; Phasianidae. The record is from RNAcentral.
AGUAUCUGCCCAGCUUUCCGUAACACGAGUUCCAUCUGCGAUGCAGAAACACAACUACAUUUUGGGAAAUAGCUUCAAAAGGAGGAUCUUUUAUAGGUAUUUGAAAUUUUCUUAGUCCCUGAAAUUCACUGAUUUUGAUGUUUAAAGAUUAAGGAAUUACUGGAACAAAAAUAAUUAGAAAGCACAGUCUUUGUGGGUUACCAUUUGGCUACAUGAGGCUUUGCACAGGUAACAGAGCAAUCCAGACACAAAGCUAACGGCGUUGCAGAGGAAUAAUUGUAUUAUUUCCUCCGAAGUCAGACUU